Long non-coding RNA from Passer domesticus (house sparrow), 924 nucleotides. RefSeq lists it as uncharacterized. The record is from RefSeq and is a predicted model, not a curated record. The transcript has 2 exons. Lineage: Eukaryota; Metazoa; Chordata; Aves; Passeriformes; Passeridae.
UUCUUCCCACCCUUUUCCCACCUCACAAUCUUCCCACCAUUUUCCCACCCCUCACACCCUUCCUGCCCUUUUCCCACUCCUCACAGUGUUCCUGCCCUUUUCCCACCCCUCAAACCCUUCCCACCAUUUUCCUACCCUUCAUGAUCUUCCCUCCAUUUUCCCACCCCUCACCAUCUUCCCGCCCUUUUCCCACCUCUCAUGAUCUUCCCACCAUUUUCCCACUCCUCACACCCUUCCCACCAUUUUCCCACCCUUCAUGAUCUUACCACCAUUUUCCCACCCCUCACCAUCUUCCUGCUCUUUUCCCAUCCCUCAUGAACCUCCCGCCUGCCGAGCCCAAACCUGAGAGAAAAAAAUCAGGAGAAAAUGGGAAAAAAAAGGAAAAAAAAAGGCUUUGGAAAUUUAUUUUUUGGAUAAAAUCUCAACUGAAAAGGGCAGACUCUGAGAACAGCACCAGAACGGCACAAACCCCCUCAAAUUCCCAUGGGGAAAUCCCGCGGUUUGGCUGUUUUGUGGUCAGUUUGGGGUUUGUCAUUUUAUUUUUGUACUUUUCCAUCAGAAAAAGUGAAGCCAUGGAAUUUCCCGAUAUGAAAUCCCUUGGAAUGACACCAAUGGAAGGUCCGGCCUGCGAGCAACGUCCAGCGAGAAGUUUGGUUCUUGGUGUAAAAUCCAAGUUUUUUCCUUAAAAAAAUGGCAUUUUCUGAGGCGAAAUGAAGUUAUAAAUAAUCCCGAGUCGGCGCUGAGAGGUAGAGGUGUCGCUGCCAUCACAAUCUAUUGGCUUGUUCUGAGGUAAUUAAUUCAUUGCGAGUCAAUCAUUCUAUCGCCCUGUCAUUAAUUAACGUUAAUUGACCUCUCUCCUCUCAAAAAGGUCCUUUUAAUUAAGAAAUCUUUAAUUGGAGGCGUCGCUGCCCGGGUCGGCGGCGG